This 1123-nucleotide long non-coding RNA is filed under the name Gallus gallus (chicken). RNAcentral's name for it is "long non-coding RNA NONGGAT003603". The record is from RNAcentral. Lineage: Eukaryota; Metazoa; Chordata; Aves; Galliformes; Phasianidae.
UGCCAAAUCUCCCCGUUCCCUGGUUCAGACCCCAGUUGUGCUGAGGAUGGCUGUGUGAGCCGGAGGUGAACCCCCCUCCCUCAACUCCACCUCGGUUCCAAGGAUGUGCCAUCAGAGGGGACCACAAAGCUCACGCAGUGCCUGAGCCCCCCCCGUCCCAAUGGGGAGCAGCUCUGCUCACAGCUGCCCUCCCCACCCCUGCCCCGCUGCGAGGAGGACUCGGGGCGCAGCAGUGCCCUCUCCCUGCCCUCGGCACGACGCGGGCACCGUUACCUUGGGCACCUCUCCCUUCCUGCCGGGGGGCAGCCGCAGGAUCCAGAAGUUCCUGUUCUUCAGCAGGUUCUCCAUGUUCUCCAGGCGCCGCUGCAGCAGCCCGUACUCCUGGAUGAGGGUGCCCAGCGCGGCACAUUUGCUCUCCAGCUGGUUGCCCAGCUCCGUCGCCGUUUUCUCACAGUCGAUCAGCUUCUUCUCGGCCACCCCGGUGCGGCCCUCCAGGUCCAGCAGGCGGGUGGCAUGGGAGUCCACCUUCCUCUCCACCGCCUGCACGGCCGUCACCACCGUCAGGGACAGCUCUGCCGUCUGCGUCUCGCGCUCCGAGGUGCAGGUGCUGCUUCCUCUCUGGAAGGGUGAGGGGCAGCGCGGCCGCAUCCCCAACUCCGGAACCUGCGGGGAUGGGGUGUGGGCGUCAGCGGGACGGCUGCAACCGCGGGGACGCGGCCCCAAACCCUCAUCAGCCACAGAGGGAUGAGGACAAGGCCACCACUGCUGUCCCACGUCCCACUGCCAACCUGGAAGGAUGGGAGCACAUUGCUCAACCCUGGGCCAGCGGGAUGGGACGGCUGCCAGAGGCAGCAGGAGUUGGGCAGCUGCCCAGGAGCUGCUCCCGGGUGGGACAAGGAGGAAAUGGAGCUUCCGCUGCAGCCAACGCCAACCUCAGCCUACAAGCACGGCACUGGGACUGCCAGCCUGCAGCGCUGCAUCGCGGGGAGAGGUGACCAACGUGCCGGGGGGACACGCGGCAAUGGGGCGGCCCAGUAGGGUGAAGCGGGGCACACGACGAGGGGCAGUGCUGGAGCUCCAGCAGUGUUCGUGCACCUCUGGUUGUGCCAGCAGUGUUUGUGCA